Molecule: long non-coding RNA, 3238 nt
Organism: Eriocheir sinensis (Chinese mitten crab)
Lineage: Eukaryota; Metazoa; Arthropoda; Malacostraca; Decapoda; Varunidae
Exons: 5
Source: RefSeq, a predicted model, not a curated record
UGGCCACCUUCAAAAAUAAGCUCGACCGUCACUUCCUUCAACUUAAUAUCAACUAGAGUAGAAAUGCAACGUUUUGGAGCCUUCUGAUUAAUGUAAAAUCACUUAGGUUUAAGGACAGACCACCUAGUCUGGACCAUGGGGUCUGUGUGGUCUGAUUUUCUAUGGAAAUCUAUGUAAAUUGAUUCUUUCUUGGGAGUAGCAAUUAGCGGGCUUUUUUUGUUGCUGUUGUUUGUGCCCUUGAGCUGCCUCCUUUGUUGUAAAAAAAAAAAAAAAAGUACUGGCGGGUGUGUCCUGGCCUGUGUGUGCCGCCGCGUACUUAAGUAACUUUAUUUCAGGUUAGAAAAUAACAUAACACUGAAAAGGAAGGUGUGUGGAUAAUGGAGGAACGAGAGGAGGAGGACAUUAGAAGCGAUACAAAGCGUUACAGGUCAAAAGACUCCUCCUGACCUUGACCUUGCUUUUGGCCACCUCUUCUGGUUCUUUCAUGGGGGGAGUAGGGAUUAGCGGGCUUUUUUUGUUGUUUUUAUUGUUUUUUGUGCCCUUGAGCUGCCUCCUUUGUUGUAAAAAAAAAAAAAAAAAAAGUACUGGCGGGUGUGUCCUGGCCUGUGUGUGCCGCCGUGUACUUAAGUAACUUUAUUUCAGGUUAGAAAAUAACAUAACACUGAAAAGGAAGGUGUGUGGAUAAUGGAGGAACGCGAGGAGGAGGACAUUAGAAGCGAUACAAAGCGUUACAGGUCAAAAGAAGGACUGGCGGGUGUGUCCUGGCCUGUGGUGGAAGUUAUUGUGGAAGAGGCGUGGCAUAGCAGACUGGAGGAGGAAGGUUACACAAAGUUAGGUUUCGUUAGCUUAAGUUUAUUUGGCAGGCAGUGCAGGGGAUAGGCAUAACUCGAAAAGUAGAUAUUUGCGAUGGAAAUGAGGUACAAAAUCAUUCAAUUCACUAAAUCUAUCACCAGAAAAACAUGAACCAAGUCAGAAAAUCGUUGGUUGGGUGAAACGGUAAAUUGUCCAACAUUGAUUUGGUCUGUUUUGUUCCAGUUUGUCCACUUGUGAUCUUUGUGACUGGUACAAAAUCGUUCAGUUCACUAAAUCUAUCACCAGAAAAACAUGAACCACGUGAGAAAAUCGUUGGUUGGGGGAAACUGUAAAUUGUCCAACAUUAGUUUGCUCUGUUUUGUUCCAGUUUGUCCACUUGUGAUCUUUGUGACUGGUACAAAAUCGUGCAGUUCACUAAAUCUAUCACCAGAAAAACAUGAACCAAGUCAGGAAAUCGUUGGUUGGGUGAAACUGUAAAUUGUCCAACAUUGAUUUGCCCUGUUUUGUUCCAGUUUGUCCACUUGUGAUCUUUGUGACUGGUACAAAAUCGUGCAGUUCACUAAAUCUAUCACCAGAAAAACAUGAACAAAGUCAGAAAAUCGUUGGUUGGGUGAAACGGUAAAUUGUCCAACAUUGAUUUGCUCUGUUUUGUUCCAGUUUGUCCACUUGUGAUCUUUGCGACGUACAAAAUCGUGCAGUUCACUAAAUCUAUCACCAGAAAAACAUGAACCAAGUCAGAAAAUCGUUGGUUGGGGGAAACUGUAAAUUGUCCAACAUUGAUUUGCCCUGUUUUGUUCCAGUUUGUCCACUUGUGAUCUUUGCGACGUACAAAAUCAUGCAGUUCACUAAAUCUAUCACCAGUAAAACAUGAACAAAGUCAGAAAAUCGUUGGUUGGGUGAAACGGUAAAUUGUCCAACAUUGAUUUGCCCUGUUUUGUUCCAGUUUGUCCACUUGUGAUCUUUGUGACUGGUACAAAAUCGUGCAGUUCACUAAAUCUAUCACCAGAAAAACAUGAACAAAGUCAGAAAAUCGUUGGUUGGGUGAAACUGUAAAUUGUCCAACAUUAGUUUUGCCCUGUUUUGUUCCAGUUUGUCCACUUGUGAUCUUUGUGACUGGUACAAAAUCGUGCAGUUCACUAAAUCUAUCACCAGAAAAACAUGAACCAAGUCAGAAAAUCGUUGGUUGGGUGAAACGGUAAAUUGUCCAACAUUAGUUUGCUCUGUUUUGUUCCAGUUUGUCCACUUGUGAUCUUUGUGACCAAUGAGUAAAAUAUAGAAACAGUAAGCAAGUUGAAACUCUAUGUGGGAUAUAUAUUUUGCAGCUGCGUCGGCGGGUGAACAACAGGCAUUAAAAAGUUACUUGUUUAUUAAUUUCCGGAGAAAAUACAACCUCCAUGAUAAACAGCAUCACAUUUUGUCCAAAGAUAAGCAUCAGCAUCUCAUAAUUUGCAGGCUACCCUUUCAUGAAUAAUCCAGGCUUUUCAGGAAUUUUCAGAUUUUUCACACUUUAUAUAUUUGAAUUAUUAAAAAAACAAAUUUAGUUAAUAUACCGUCUAUUACUUCAAAGUAUUAAACAACAAAAAAAAUAUUUCCCAACAGGUUAGGCCGAGUUUAAGGAACUUUCAAACUCGUGAUAUCCAGACACCUACCGCAUAAAUUAACAAAGAAAGCCCCACUGUGUUAUAUGGAAGAAUAUGUGAUUUUCUGAGCCAAGCCGUAUGAUAACUUUUUUGUGGUAUUUUGUUAGGUUAGGUUAGGUUAAGUUUAGGGCAUCUUCAAACAUAUGAUAGCCAGCACCUUAUGUUAUAUAUAUCAACAAAGAAUGACCUCACUUUGUUGUAUAGAAAAUUUCAUCAGUAAGGAAGCAUAUAUGAAUUUUCUGAGUCAAGACCUAUAGUAACCAUUUUUGGGUUUUGUUAAGUUAGGUUAGGGUAUCUUCAAACACAUGAUAGCCAGCAAGCCAGCACCUUAUGGUAUAAAUCAACACAGAAUGACCUCACUUUUUUAUAGAAAGUCUCAUUAGUAAGAAAGCAUAUCCAUUUUCUGAGUCAAGGCCUAUAAUGUUUGUUUUGUUUUUGUUAUGUUGGGUUAAAUUUAGGGCGACAGAGAACCAGGUGGAGAGGUGGAAUUAGAACCUUUACCGGGGCAGGAUGGAGUACACUAACACCAGACAGAGGACCAGGUGGAGAGGUGGAAUUAGAACCUUUACCGGGGCAGGAUGGAGUACACUAACACCAGACAGAGGACCAGGUGGAGAGGUGGAAUUAGAACCUUUACCGGGGCAGGAUGGAGUACACUAACACCAGACAGAGGACCAGGUGGAGAGGUGGAAUUAGAACCUGUACCGGGGCAGGAUGGAGUACACUAACACCAGACAGAGGACCAGGUGGAGAGGUGGAAUUAAAACCUUUACCGGGGCAGGAUG